Molecule: ribosomal RNA, 267 nt
Filed under: uncultured bacterium
Lineage: Bacteria
Description: partial 16S ribosomal RNA
Rfam family: Bacterial small subunit ribosomal RNA
Source: RNAcentral
GUCCUGGCCCUAAACGAUGAAUACUUGGUGUCUGGAGUAAUUUGUGCUCCGGGUGCCGUCGCUAACGUUUUUAGUAUUCCGCCUGGGGAGUACGCUCGCAAGAGUGAAACUCAAAGGAAUUGACGGGGACCCCGCACAAGCGGUGGAGCAUGUGGUUUAAUUCGACGCAACGCGAAGAACCUUACCUAGGCUAGAAUGUGAGGGAAGAGAGGGUAACUCCGAUCGUCCGGGAAACCGGACCCAAACAAGGUGCUGCAUGGCUGUCGU